RNAcentral lists this ribosomal RNA (914 nucleotides) under uncultured crenarchaeote. RNAcentral's name for it is "bacterial SSU rRNA". It matches the Rfam family "Archaeal small subunit ribosomal RNA", at positions 1 to 922 of the family's 1478-position model. The record is from RNAcentral. Lineage: Archaea; Thermoproteati; Thermoproteota.
UUCCGGUUGAUCCNGCCGGACCUGACUGCUAUCGGAUUGAUACUAAGCCAUGCGAGUCAUUGUAGCAAUACAAGGCAUACGGCUCAGUAACGCGUAGUCAACCNAACCUAUGGACGGGAAUAACCUCGGGAAACUGAGAAUAAUGCCCGAUAGAACACUAUACCUGGAAUGGUUUGUGNUCCAAAUGAUUUAUCGCCAUAGGAUGGGACUGCGGCCUAUCNGUUUGUUGGUGAGGUAAUGGCCCACCAAGACUAUUACAGGUACGGGCUCUGAGAGGAGUAGCCCGGAGAUGGGUACUGAGACACGGACCCAGGCCCUAUGGGGCGCAGCAGGCGAGAAAACUUUGCAAUGUGCGAAAGCACGACAAGGUUAAUCCGAGUGAUUUGUGCUAAACGAAUCUUUUGUUAGUCCUAGAAACACUAACGAAUAAGGGGUGGGCAAGUUCUGGUGUCAGCCGCCGCGGUAAAACCAGCACCUCAAGUGGUCAGGAUGAUUAUUGGGCCUAAAGCAUCCGUAGCCGGCUCUGUAAGUUUUCGGUUAAAUCUGUACGCUUAACGUACAGGCUGCCGGGAAUACUGCAAAGCUAGGGAGUGGGAGAGGUAGACGGUACUCGGUAGGAAGUGGUAAAAUGCUUUGAUCUAUCGAUGACCACCUGUGGCGAAGGCGGUCUACCAGAACACGUCCGACGGUGAGGGAUGAAAGCUGGGGGAGCAAACCGGAUUAGAUACCCGGGUAGUCCCAGCUGUAAACUAUGCAAACUCAGUGAUGCAUUGGCUUGUGGCCAAUGCAGUGCUGCAGGGAAGCCGUUAAGUUUGCCGCCUGGGAAGUACGUACGCAAGUAUGAAACUUAAAGGAGUUGGCGGGGGAGCACCACAAGGGGUGAAGCCUGCGGUUCAAUUGGAUUCAACGCCGGG